GGUGGUAGGUCGGGUGUAUGUGCCAUCAACAAAACUGAUUUUGUUUUUGGCCGUUAAGGCAACAAGCAUUUUACGUCUCCAGCCCCCAUAACCACUACCCGAUAAGGGAGUGGGAACAAGUGAUACCCCAGGGACAUCAGACGAGUACACAAAAAGGGGAUUAGAAGAGUCUACAGCAGGAGAGGGACCAAUGUUUGUGCUAGAAGCCAUAGUUAAAGAACCGGCUUAAAUGAACAACUUUUCAACAAACAUAAUACUACCAAAACAGGUAUUCAGACACAACAACCAACAAACAGACUACAGUCAGGUCAAAUAUUCACAGACAACACCAGAUGCUCACAAGAACAGAGUCAAAUAAUCAC
This 362-nucleotide long non-coding RNA is filed under the name Nicotiana benthamiana. RNAcentral describes it as "long non-coding RNA (NBEN_LNC035863)". Lineage: Eukaryota; Viridiplantae; Streptophyta; Magnoliopsida; Solanales; Solanaceae. The record is from RNAcentral.